UGUUUCAUUUGUUCGUGACUC
RNAcentral lists this microRNA (21 nucleotides) under Mus musculus (house mouse). RNAcentral's name for it is "mmu-miR-7675-3p". The record is from miRBase by way of RNAcentral. Lineage: Eukaryota; Metazoa; Chordata; Mammalia; Rodentia; Muridae.